ACAUCCAUAUUCACUUUUUAAUAUUCUGUUUUCAGCAGUACUUCUGUUUUAUCUAUUUUUGUUCACCAAUCAAACCAACUCCGAAUACCCUCAAAAUUUGUGUGGUAGUCCGCCACUGUGUCUAGUUACUGUGUACUUAAUUUCAUAAUUUUUGGUUGAGUCUAGAUUAGCUAAUUAAUUAGGUUUCUGCUCCUAGGUCGAGUCUGCCAGAUUUCUGGUUUACGCGUCUGUUUGUGUUUCUUAUGUGUUUAAGUCUUAGCAUCACCAAUCCUCUGCGGGUAAUGACCCCUAUUUGCCGUUUACUACAUUGAUAUAAUUGAUUUGAUAAUAGGGUAUCUUUGUAGGUGCUUUUGCGCCUAUCAAUAGCCUUACAUUUCCAAGGUUUAAAUGUCGGCAGAAUUUAUAUGUGAUGAGAUAUAUAGAGACAUGCACGAGAGUACGUACGAUAAUGCUGAGGAAUAUUGGCCUACCUCACAGAAACUUUAGCCCAGGUGGCCAGGUACUAAGUAUUCUG
Molecule: long non-coding RNA, 514 nt
Filed under: Fragaria vesca (wild strawberry)
Lineage: Eukaryota; Viridiplantae; Streptophyta; Magnoliopsida; Rosales; Rosaceae
Description: long non-coding RNA (FVES_LNC002833)
Source: RNAcentral